CCAAUAGCGUAUAUUAAAGUUGUUGCAGUUAAAAAGCUCGUAGUUGAACUUCGGGGUUUACCCAUUGGUCAGGCUUAAUUGUCUGUACUGGUGAGAUAAAUCUCUACCUUCUGAGGAACUUUCAUGCCAUUUAUUUGGUGUGAUGGGAAAUCAGGACUGUUACUUUGAAAAAUUAGAGUGUUUAAAGCAGGCUAACGUCUGAAUACAUUAGCAUGGAAUAAUGAAAUAGGACGGACUGAUUCUAUUUCGUUGAUUUCUAGGAUCACCGUAAUGAUUAAUAGGGAUAGUUGGGGGCAUUAGUAUUCAAUUGUCAGAGGUGAAAUUCUUGGAUUUAUUGAAGACUAACUACUGCGAAAGCAUUUGCCAAGGAUGUUUUCAUUAAUCAAGAACGAAAGUUAGGGGAUCGAAGACGAUCAGAUACCGUCGUAGUCUUAACCAUAAACUAUGCCGACUAGGGAUCGGACGAAGUUAAUUUUAUAAUGACGCGUUCGGCACCUUACG
RNAcentral lists this ribosomal RNA (501 nucleotides) under uncultured Glomeromycotina. Its description in RNAcentral is "partial small subunit ribosomal RNA". It matches the Rfam family "Eukaryotic small subunit ribosomal RNA", at positions 591 to 1092 of the family's 1831-position model. The record is from RNAcentral. Lineage: Eukaryota; Fungi; Glomeromycota.